GCUAAAUGGUUUUAUAAUAAUUUUAUUAUUUUAAAUAACAACAAUAUAAUAACAUAUAAUAGCACUAGUCAGUUUUAUAUUAAUUUUUUUUAAUGUUCAUUCAAAUAAACAUUCUUUUGUGGAUGCUUUUAUUCCGUGAUAGUAUGACAUAAUGAAUGCUUAAUACUUUUCGACCUUUUUAUUAUGUAAUCAUAUUUAAAUAAACAUUAUUGUUUGGAUGACAUGGUAUUCAAAUAAGCAUCAUUUAUUUUCAAUGCUCUAUGAUUGAGAAUUUAAUAAAUUCGAUUUUCAAAAAAGUGAAAAUAUCUUAGAAAUAAAAAAUUAGAAACGGAGAAUUGGAAAAAUGAACUUGUUUUUUAGUUUUCUAAUUUUCCAUUGGAAAACAGAGAAAGGGCAAAUUUGGAAGGAGAAAAGAAAAUUGGAAAAUGAAAACAGAAAAUGUUUUCCACGACUAAACAAUGCCUUCCUAUUCUGAUUUCUCAUUCCCAUUCCUCCAUUCCAGAUAGCCCAACAAUCAAUUCAUUCCCAUUCCUUUAUGUAGUCUUCAAUGCAUGAAACAACUAAUUUAUUUAUAUACCUUGAGAGAUUCAGAAGCUAAAGUACUGAAACAUUAUGAGCAAUAGAGAUGCAAGUUAUACCUUGAGAAUGACACCAGCACCAA
RNAcentral lists this unclassified non-coding RNA (661 nucleotides) under Hevea brasiliensis (rubber tree). Lineage: Eukaryota; Viridiplantae; Streptophyta; Magnoliopsida; Malpighiales; Euphorbiaceae. The record is from RNAcentral.